UACGGAGGGUGCGAGCGUUGCUCGGAAUCACUGGGCGUAAAGCGUACGCAGGCGGCCAUGUAAGUCGGGUGUGAAAGCCCGGGGCUCAACCCCGGAAUUGCGCCCGAGACUGCACGGCUUGAAUGCGGGAGAGGAUAGCGGAAUUCCUGGUGUAGAGGUGAAAUUCGUAGAUAUCAGGAGGAACACCUGUGGCGAAAGCGGCUAUCUGGCCCGACAUUGACGCUCAUGUACGAAAGCGCGGGGAGCAAACAGG
RNAcentral lists this ribosomal RNA (253 nucleotides) under uncultured bacterium. Its description in RNAcentral is "partial 16S ribosomal RNA". It matches the Rfam family "Bacterial small subunit ribosomal RNA", at positions 524 to 776 of the family's 1533-position model. The record is from RNAcentral.